GACGAACGCUGGCGGCGUGCUUAACACAUGCAAGUCGAACGGUGAUGCUCCAGCUUGCUGGAGUGGAUCAGUGGCGAACGGGUGAGUAACACGUGAGCAACCUGCCCCAGACUCUGGAAUGAGCGCUGGAAACGGCGUCUAAUACUGGAUACGAAACUGGCCCGCAUGGGCAUGGUUUGGAAAGUUUUUCGGUUUGGGAUGGGCUCGCGGCCUAUCAGCUUGUUGGUGAGGUAAUGGCUCACCAAGGCGACGACGGGUAGCCGGCCUGAGAGGGCGACCGGACACACUGGGACUGAGACACGGCCCAGACUCCUACGGGAGGCAGCAGUGGGGAAUAUUGCACAAUGGGCGAAAGCCUGAUGCAGCGACGCCGCGUGAGGGAGGACGGCCUUCGGGUUGUAAACCUCUUUCAGCAGGGAAGAAGCGAAAGUGACGGUACCUGCAGAAGAAGCACCGGCUAACUACGUG
Molecule: ribosomal RNA, 468 nt
Filed under: uncultured bacterium
Lineage: Bacteria
Description: partial 16S ribosomal RNA
Rfam family: Bacterial small subunit ribosomal RNA
Source: RNAcentral